Molecule: long non-coding RNA, 550 nt
Organism: Pantherophis guttatus
Lineage: Eukaryota; Metazoa; Chordata; Lepidosauria; Squamata; Colubridae
Source: RefSeq, a predicted model, not a curated record
AGUACUGCAGGCUACUUCUGCUGACUGCUGACUGCCAGCAGUUUGGCAGUUUGAGACUCACCAGCUCAAGUUACUACUGAUAUCCCACUGCAACAUACCCACUGGCCUGAUUAUCUCCUGAUCUUCCAGAACUGAUGGUGGACUACAACCUGGAUCUCCCCACAUCUAGUCCAGGGUGUGCCAGUACACCACACUACACAAUGUAACCCCACCCUGUCCCACUUAAGGAAAUAAUUGGCUUCGGAGCCUCUGUUGAGUUCUCAAAAACCAUUAAGAGACGUGCUGCUUCUGAACAGCAGUUUGGGCCAAAUCGUCCAUGUAACAAUGCUUAGCUUGAAUACACUGCAAAGCAUUACUGCAAGGGAAAUCAAACAUCGUUCUACAUUUCAUAAAAUUUUGAACAUUCAUCAGAAUGAAGUUGGUCCAAAGAAGUAAGAUUACAAGAGGCUGCAUUUACACAAGGGGGGAAAAAAGAACUACAAGAUUAUUAGACUGUGGUUAUUCUAUGAGGCAAGUUUUUCAUGGACAAUAAAGUCAAAAUUACAUCCAU